UGAAAAAUGCCUUAUUAUCGGUGGAUGCCUUAUUAUCGGGGAGGUCUUAUUAUCGGGGGGAUGCCUUAUAUUACAACGAGAGGCAAAACUGCCUAAAGAUAGGAAACAAUCGAUGGUAAGCCGUAUGGAUCGGAGAGCUUCGUCGAACGUUGAAGCUUUGAGGAGGCAAUCGUCUAGGUGGCUGGAGGCCUAGGGACUGGAGGGUUGCUCUUGCGUCCUUCAUCGAAUGCAGCAUGUCGUUUGUGGUG
Malaclemys terrapin pileata is the source of this 248-nucleotide long non-coding RNA. RefSeq lists it as uncharacterized. The transcript is spliced from 3 exons. The record is from RefSeq and is a predicted model, not a curated record. NCBI's taxonomy places the organism in Eukaryota, Metazoa, Chordata, Testudines, Emydidae.